GAUUUCGAUUGGUCGGUCAGAGAGGUUACCUGGAAAUCCAACACCGCCCAACACCCCUCCCGCUCCCCAGUCCGGGGACUUCGAUAGGAUUGGAGAAGGAGGUGACAGGAGGAGCCCCCGCACAGGACCUAAGAAUGCUGUGACCAGAAGAUGGGAUCGCGGAACAGCAGCAGUGCAGGAUCCGGGUCCGGAGACCCCUCCGAGGGCUUGCCCCGAAGAGGGGCUGGCCUGCGUCGGAGUGAGGAAGAGGAAGAAGAGGAUGAAGAUGUGGAUCUGGCCCAGGUACUGGCCUAUCUCCUCCGCAGGCCCUCUUGGACUCAGAGGAAGAGAAUGACAGAGCUUGGGAUGGUCGUCUUGGGGAUCGAUACAACCCACCUGUGGAUGCUACCCCUGACACCCGGGAGCUGGAAUUCAAUGAGAUCAAGACACAAGUGGAACUGGCCACAGGGCAGCUGGGGCUUAGGCGGGCCGCCCAGAAGCACAGCUUUCCUCGAAUGUUGCACCAGGUAGGCCUCUCCACCU
This 522-nucleotide unclassified non-coding RNA is filed under the name Homo sapiens (human). Its description in RNAcentral is "DDB1 and CUL4 associated factor 11 (ENSG00000284796.3)". Lineage: Eukaryota; Metazoa; Chordata; Mammalia; Primates; Hominidae. The record is from RNAcentral.